UAAGUUAUUAAGGGCGCACGGUGGAUGCCUUGGCACUAGAAGCCGAUGAAGGACGUUACUAACGACGAUAUGCUUUGGGGAGCUGUAAGUAAGCUUUGAUCCAGAGAUUUCCGAAUGGGGAAACCCAGCAUGAGUUAUGUCAUGUUAUCGAUAUGUGAAUACAUAGCAUAUCAGAAGGCACACCCGGAGAACUGAAACAUCUUAGUACCCGGAGGAAGAGAAAGAAAAUUCGAUUCCCUUAGUAGCGGCGAGCGAAACGGGAAGAGCCCAAACCAAAAAGCUUGCUUGUUGGGGUUGUAGGACACUCUAUACGGAGUUACAAAGGACGACAUUAGACGAAUCAUCUGGAAAGAUGAAUCAAAGAAGGUAAUAAUCCUGUAGUCGAAAAUGUUGUCUCUCUUGAGUGGAUCCUGAGUACGACGGAGCACGUGAAAUUCCGUCGGAAUCUGGGAGGACCAUCUCCUAAGGCUAAAUACUCUCUAGUGACCGAUAGUGAACCAGUACCGUGAGGGAAAGGUGAAAAGCACCCCGGAAGGAGAGUGAAAUAGAACCUGAAACCGUGUGCUUACAAGUAGUCAGAGCCCGUUAAUGGGUGAUGGCGUGCCUUUUGUAGAAUGAACCGGCGAGUUACGAUUUGAUGCAAGGUUAAGCAGUAAAUGUGGAGCCGUAGCGAAAGCGAGUCUGAAUAGGGCGUUUAGUAUUUGGUCGUAGACCCGAAACCAGGUGAUCUACCCUUGGUCAGGUUGAAGUUCAGGUAACACUGAAUGGAGGACCGAACCGACUUACGUUGAAAAGUGAGCGGAUGAACUGAGGGUAGCGGAGAAAUUCCAAUCGAACCUGGAGAUAGCUGGUUCUCUCCGAAAUAGCUUUAGGGCUAGCCUCAAGUGAUGAUUAUUGGAGGUAGAGCACUGUUUGGACGAGGGGCCCCUCUCGGGUUACCGAAUUCAGACAAACUCCGAAUGCCAAUUAAUUUAACUUGGGAGUCAGAACAUGGGUGAUAAGGUCCGUGUUCGAAAGGGAAACAGCCCAGACCACCAGCUAAGGUCCCAAAAUAUAUGUUAAGUGGAAAAGGAUGUGGCGUUGCCCAGACAACUAGGAUGUUGGCUUAGAAGCAGCCAUCAUUUAAAGAGUGCGUAAUAGCUCACUAGUCGAGUGACACUGCGCCGAAAAUGUACCGGGGCUAAACAUAUUACCGAAGCUGUGGAUUGUCCUUUGGACAAUGGUAGGAGAGCGUUCUAAGGGCGUUGAAGCAUGAUCGUAAGGACAUGUGGAGCGCUUAGAAGUGAGAAUGCCGGUGUGAGUAGCGAAAGACGGGUGAGAAUCCCGUCCACCGAUUGACUAAGGUUUCCAGAGGAAGGCUCGUCCGCUCUGGGUUAGUCGGGUCCUAAGCUGAGGCCGACAGGCGUAGGCGAUGGAUAACAGGUUGAUAUUCCUGUACCACCUAUAAUCGUUUUAAUCGAUGGGGGGACGCAGUAGGAUAGGCGAAGCGUGCGAUUGGAUUGCACGUCUAAGCAGUAAGGCUGAGUAUUAGGCAAAUCCGGUACUCGUUAAGGCUGAGCUGUGAUGGGGAGAAGACAUUGAGUCUUCGAGUCGUUGAUUUCACACUGCCGAGAAAAGCCUCUAGAUAGAAAAUAGGUGCCCGUACCGCAAACCGACACAGGUAGUCAAGAUGAGAAUUCUAAGGUGAGCGAGCGAACUCUCGUUAAGGAACUCGGCAAAAUGACCCCGUAACUUCGGGAGAAGGGGUGCUCUUUAGGGUUAACGCCCAGAAGAGCCGCAGUGAAUAGGCCCAAGCGACUGUUUAUCAAAAACACAGGUCUCUGCUAAACCGUAAGGUGAUGUAUAGGGGCUGACGCCUGCCCGGUGCUGGAAGGUUAAGAGGAGUGGUUAGCUUCUGCGAAGCUACGAAUCGAAGCCCCAGUAAACGGCGGCCGUAACUAUAACGGUCCUAAGGUAGCGAAAUUCCUUGUCGGGUAAGUUCCGACCCGCACGAAAGGCGUAACGAUUUGGGCACUGUCUCAACGAGAGACUCGGUGAAAUCAUAGUACCUGUGAAGAUGCAGGUUACCCGCGACAGGACGGAAAGACCCCGUGGAGCUUUACUGUAGCCUGAUAUUGAAAUUCGGCACAGCUUGUACAGGAUAGGUAGGAGCCUUUGAAACGUGAGCGCUAGCUUACGUGGAGGCGCUGGUGGGAUACUACCCUAGCUGUGUUGGCUUUCUAACCCGCACCACUUAUCGUGGUGGGAGACAGUGUCAAGCGGGCAGUUUGACUGGGGCGGUCGCCUCCUAAAAGGUAACGGAGGCGCUCAAAGGUUCCCUCAGAAUGGUUGGAAAUCAUUCAUAGAGUGUAAAGGCAUAAGGGAGCUUGACUGCGAGACCUACAAGUCGAGCAGGGUCGAAAGACGGACUUAGUGAUCCGGUGGUUCCGCAUGGAAGGGCCAUCGCUCAACGGAUAAAAGCUACCCCGGGGAUAACAGGCUUAUCUCCCCCAAGAGUUCACAUCGACGGGGAGGUUUGGCACCUCGAUGUCGGCUCAUCGCAUCCUGGGGCUGUAGUCGGUCCCAAGGGUUGGGCUGUUCGCCCAUUAAAGCGGUACGCGAGCUGGGUUCAGAACGUCGUGAGACAGUUCGGUCCCUAUCCGUCGUGGGCGUAGGAAAUUUGAGAGGAGCUGUCCUUAGUACGAGAGGACCGGGAUGGACAUACCUCUGGUGUACCAGUUGUCGUGCCAACGGCAUAGCUGGGUAGCUAUGUGUGGACGGGAUAAGUGCUGAAAGCAUCUAAGCAUGAAGCCCCCCUCAAGAUGAGAUUUCCCAACUUCGGUUAUAAGAUCCCUCAAAGAUGAUGAGGUUAAUAGGUUCGAGGUGGAAGCAUGGUGACAUGUGGAGCUGACGAAUACUAAUCGAUCGAAGACUUAAUCA
Molecule: ribosomal RNA, 2919 nt
Filed under: Staphylococcus aureus
Lineage: Bacteria; Bacillati; Bacillota; Bacilli; Caryophanales; Staphylococcaceae
Description: bacterial LSU rRNA
Rfam family: Bacterial large subunit ribosomal RNA
Source: RNAcentral